Molecule: ribosomal RNA, 406 nt
Filed under: Sieverdingia tortuosa
Lineage: Eukaryota; Fungi; Glomeromycota; Glomeromycetes; Diversisporales; Diversisporaceae
Description: partial large subunit ribosomal RNA
Source: RNAcentral
AGAGUUAAAUAGUACGUGAAAUUGUUGAAAGGGAAACGAUUGAAGUCAGUCGUGCCGUUGAGAAAUCAACUUAACAAAUUUUAGUUUUUGGAUCGAGAUAGGGUCAAACCAUCUCGGUUUUUGAAUUGAGAUUUGUUGGGUGUACUUUCUUUUUGGGCAGGUCAGCGUCGAUUUUGGGGGUUGUAAAAUGACUGGGGGAAUGUAGCUCCUUUCGGGGAGUGUUAUAGACCCUGGAGGAUGCAGCCCGCGGGAUCGAGGAUUGCAGCAAAUGCUUUCGCUUGUCGCCUAUCCGUUAAACGUUGCCCUGCUGGUGACAAUAUUCUUGACACUUUGUGGGAUUUGGCGGUUAUUGGUUAGUGCGUUCUAAAAUUUGCUAAGGAUGCUGACGUAAUGGCUUUAAACGACC